Molecule: non-coding RNA, 102 nt
Organism: Cinara cedri
Lineage: Eukaryota; Metazoa; Arthropoda; Insecta; Hemiptera; Aphididae
Source: the annotation of a GenBank genome assembly
GCUAACAUGUGUAUGCCGAAAGAGGAAAAGUUAUAACGGUUAUGUUUUUAAAUGAUAGUCGUAAGCGUAUAGCUUUUCCCCUUUUAGUGUAUUCAUUCGAAA